GGCCACGGCGCGCCUGCUCUGGGCUCUCCGCGUGCCGCGUCGCUUUCUUUUCUUCCUCUGGAGCAGUUAUGGCGGCGGCGAAGACCCUGAACCCCAAGGCCAAGGUGGCCGGAGCGCAGGCGGCGCUGGCGUUCAACAUUAGCGGGGCGCGGGGUCUGCAGGACGUGCUGAGGACCAACCUGGGGCCCAAAGGGACCAUAAAGAUGGCCUUCAUCCCAGAAUAAUCACUGAAGGAUUUGAAGCUGUGAAGGAAAAGCCCUUCAUUUUUUGGAAGAAGUCAAAGUAAGCAGAGAGAUGGACAAGGAAACACUUAAAGAUGUGGCCAGGGCAUCUCUUUGUACUAAAGUUCAUGCUGAACUUGCAGAUGUCUUAACAGAGGCUGUAGUGGGCUCCAUUUUGGCCAUUAAAAGAAAAGAUGAACCUAUUGAUCUCUUCAUGAUUUUGUGAUCAUUGACAAGAAACAUAAAUCUGAAACUGAUACAAGAGAAGUGAAUUCUGGCGUUUUUUACAAGAGUGCAGAAAGAGAAAAACUCAUAAAAGCUGAAAGAAAAUUCAUUGAAGAUAGAGUUAAAACAAAUAAUAGAACUGAAAAGGAAAGUCUGUAGUAAUUCAGAUAAAGGAUUUGUUAUUAAUCAAAAGGGAAUUGACCCCUUUUCCUUAGAUGCUCUUUCAAAGAAGGCAUAGUCGCUCUUCACAGAGCUAAAAGGAGGAAUAUGGAGAGGCUGACUCUUGCUUGUGGUGGGGUGGCCCUGAAUUCUUUUGAGGACCUAAGUCCUGACUGCUUGAGACAUGCAGGACUUGUAUAUGAGUAUACAUUGAAGUUCACCUUUAUUGAGAAGUGUAACAACCCUCGUUCUGUCACAUUAUUGAUCAAAGGACCAAAUAAGCCCACACUUAGAUCAAAGAUGCAGUAAGGGAUGGCUUGAGGGCUGUCAAAAAUGCUAUUGAUGAUGGCUGUGUGGUUCCGGUGCUGGUGCCGUGGAAGUGGCAAUGGCAGAAGCCCUGAAUAAAUAUAAGCUCAGUGUAAAGGGCAAGGCACAGCUUGGAGUCCAAGCAUUUGCUGAUGUGUUGCUCGUUAUUCCCAAGGUGAGCCCGUGGUAGCAGCAGAAGCAGGCAUUAUGGGAUAACGAUUGUGUAAAGAAACAGCUUCUUCAUUCCUGCACUGGUUGCCACCAACAUUCUCUUGGUUGAUGAGAUCAUGCGAGCUGGAAUCUUCUCUGAAAGGUUGAAUUGAAGCUUCCUCUGUAUCUGAGUCUUGAAGACUCUGCAAAGUGAUCCUGAAGAAUACAGCUGUGGAAUUUUUGUCCAAGCUUCAAAUGAGUUUCAAGGGAAUUUUCCCAUGUGAAAAAAGGAGAGAACACUGGCAUCUGUUGAAAUUCGGAAGUUCUGAAAUUAUAAUCACAGUAUUUUUUAAAAAUUGCACUGAAGUGUACACAGAUAAAGCAGGUCUUUCACCCAGUGAACAGGAUGUUUUGCUUUAGCAGCAGUGACAUAAAAUUCCAUGUUAAAUAAGCAUAUAUUACCUACCUUAUUAAAUAUUCCUUGAAAAAGCAGAUUUUAAUGGUUUAAUUUUAUGUGGACAUAUGUUAAAUUAUUCAGCAGUACCCUAUUGUUAAGCAUCUGGUUUUAAAAUUUUUAUGCUAAUAUAAAUAACGCUUAGUAAUUUAAAAUUUUGGAAGCAUCCCGUUAGUGUAAAUUUCUGAGUAAAUUUAUUGAUCAGUUGGACUUUUCACGCUUUUGAAAUAGCUUUGCUAAAAUGCUCCCCCUACAAAGUUGUAGGAAAUGGGAAGAGGAGUAAACUAGAGGCAAGGGAGUUGAGAGAGCUGGAAGGCAUGGUGGCUAAGGGCUACGGUUAUCAGGUGAAAUUUGAGAUUUGUAGGCUGACUAUAUUUUCAAGCUUCUGAACUUUUGCUUAUGCAAAAUAUUCAUCCCAAAGCCUCUAGCGUCAUAGUUUCCUCACCCAAAUUACUAUGUUUCCACAAGAUUUAUAUAGUUGGUCUAUCUCUGCGGUCCUUGAAAGUGAAGUUGGUGUUACUAGGCUGUGGGUUUUGGGGGCUCAGCAGUGACCUGGAGUGUGCAAAUAAAUGUUAAGUUGAAA
Homo sapiens (human) is the source of this 2098-nucleotide long non-coding RNA. Lineage: Eukaryota; Metazoa; Chordata; Mammalia; Primates; Hominidae. The record is from Ensembl.